This 195-nucleotide non-coding RNA is filed under the name Acetohalobium arabaticum. Lineage: Bacteria; Bacillati; Bacillota; Clostridia; Halanaerobiales; Halobacteroidaceae. RNAcentral also lists the same sequence under 1 other name. The record is from RNAcentral.
AUAAAUAUAUAAUGGUUAGAUGCCUUUAGCUACGGCUAAAGGAGAAUAGGGAAUCAGGUGUGAAUCCUGAACGGGCCCGCCACUGUAACUAGCUAACUAGGCUCAAUAUACCACUUGGAUAUUUUAUAUUCAGGGAAGGUAGAACUUAGUAUUAAGGCUAGAAGUCAGGAGACCUGUCUAACCAUUUACCUACUA